This 523-nucleotide ribosomal RNA is filed under the name uncultured bacterium. RNAcentral's name for it is "bacterial SSU rRNA". It matches the Rfam family "Bacterial small subunit ribosomal RNA", at positions 527 to 1050 of the family's 1533-position model. The record is from RNAcentral.
GGGGGAUGCAAGUGUUAUCCGGAAUUAUUGGGCGUAAAGCGUCUGUAGGUUGUUUAAUAAGUCUAUUGUUAAAGCGUGUAACUUAACUUCAUAGAUGCAGUAGAAACUGUUAGACUAGAGUAUAAUUGAGGUAGAAGGAAUUUCCAGUGGAGUGGUGAAAUGCGUAGAUAUUGGAAAGAACACCAAUUGCGAAGGCAUUCUAUUAAAUUAUUCUGACACUCAGAGACGAAAGCUAGGGUAGCAAAUGGGAUUAGAUACCCCAGUAGUCCUAGCCGUAAACGAUGGAUACUAUAUAUUAGACGCAUCGACCCGUUUGGUAUUAAAGCUAACGCGUUAAGUAUCCCGCCUGGGGAGUACGCUCGCAAGAGUUAAACUCAAAGGAAUUGACGGGGGCCCGCACAAGCGGUGGAGCAUGUGGUUUAAUUUGAUGCAACGCGAAGAACCUUACCAGGGUUUGACAUGGUAUAAAAUUUCUCGAAAGAGAAUGGGUGUUUACACAUAUACACACAGGUGGUGCAUGGCU